Myotis lucifugus (little brown bat) is the source of this 75-nucleotide non-coding RNA. NCBI's taxonomy places the organism in Eukaryota, Metazoa, Chordata, Mammalia, Chiroptera, Vespertilionidae. The record is from Rfam.
GGCCCGGUGGCUCAGUCGGUUAGAGUGUCAGUCCUGUAUACCGAUAGGUUGUGGGUUCAAUUCCCAGUCAGGACA